UUUUAACAAGAACCAAUAUAUAUAGUUCCAUUAUAUUUCUACAUCACUUGAACCAAAACCUCAAUUAUGAAGUUCACUUCUCUCUUUGCUUUGAUACUCAUUGAAAUCCUUUUGUGCUCCUCUUUUUGUCUCUGCCAUGAAGUAAAGAUCUUUCAAGGAAGAGAAAGAAGGAGCCUGUCAAGAAGGCUUCUGUCAAUUCCAGUGGUUUCUGUUUCUCCAAGCAGUGGAGCCAUGAAAGAGCCCAAGAAAGCUGUGGAGUCUAGUAUGAGGAGAAAGCCACCCAGUGGCUCAAAUCCUAUCCAGAACAAGUAGUUACCAUCAAAUGCAUAUCCAAGAGAUCUCAAUGGAUCGGUUCAUAUCAUUUUUAUAUAUGUUUUAUUUAGUUUUUUUCUUGUUAUUUUCAUGGUACUCUCCCACUUUUUGGAAAUUUAUGUUUACUGUGUUGUUAUGAAGUUUUGAUUUAGUAUGUAGGUAGCUAGGAAGCUUAUUAGAGAGUGAGAGAUGUGUAAGAACUUGUAUUAUAUAUAUAAACAUUGAAUUAAUUACAUAAUUAGUGAAGGGUUUUGCUUAUAGAUCACUCAUUUGAUGCAUAUAUUUUUUUUAUAUAUAGUAGCAAAUGAUAACAAGUUUUCCUUUCC
Molecule: long non-coding RNA, 638 nt
Filed under: Prunus dulcis (almond)
Lineage: Eukaryota; Viridiplantae; Streptophyta; Magnoliopsida; Rosales; Rosaceae
Description: sRNA ncRNA
Source: RNAcentral